UGUUUUUAUCUUUCAGUGGAAGUAAAAUAUAACCUGAAAGAAAAUAUUGGAGCUGGCUGCUACGGCAAUGUCUAUCGUGGUAUCAGAAUAGUGGACGGCAAACAGUUUAUCAUCAAGUCGACUUUUUCAGAAGUUGACAGCAAUGUGCCUGGAUAUCCGUUACCCAUACCAAUCGAAGUGGCCAUGAUGACAAUUGCGAGAGAUCCCCCAAGCCCGCUGCUCAUCAAGCUCCAGGAAUGGUUUUUAGUUAAAGUGGAGAAAUUGCCAAGAGGAGUAGGUGUAUUUAUACAGCACAUUUCAUGCACAAUGCGCUGCAGGAGGGUUUGUCUCGUUUCUUAUUGUCGUUUUAAUUUUGUAAAUUCAAAUUCCUAAAUCAAGAAGCAUUUCUGGACAUGUAAAUAACUUUGUCUUGUUUUC
Danio rerio (zebrafish) is the source of this 417-nucleotide non-coding RNA. Lineage: Eukaryota; Metazoa; Chordata; Actinopteri; Cypriniformes; Danionidae. The record is from Ensembl.